AGCAGGAAGGAGGGAGAUACAGGCACUGCAAGCAGCAUCCCAAGGUAACGCAGGCGCGGAGGACGCACCAGCCCAGCCGAGAGAGCCCCAUUGCUCUGCUGCUGUGGGGUGACAAUCCAGGGAUCUCGUUCUCCCGUUCUGCAAUCUGCUAAAGCCUGGUUGCACGCCGCCUUCACCUUUCUCUGCCUCUCGACUCCCCUUGGGAAUUGCUUCUCCUCCACCUCUUCGCCACAAAAGCUGCCAGGACGAACAGGGAGCCCAAUUGCCCAGCCAGCAUGACGACAGAAGUCAAUGAAUGUAGCAUCAAAGUGCUCUGUAGGUUCCGGCCCCUGAACCAGUCGGAGAUCAUACGGGGAGAUAAAUUCAUCCCAGUUUUCCAGGGGGAUGACACCGUCAUCAUUGGGGUAAGCAAAUGCUGGGGGGGGGGGCUGGGGGAGCAGCUGCAGGGAUGCUUCUCAAAAGAAGGGGAAUCACCCCCUCCACCACUGCCCUGAGCCAGGCCUGUUCAAUAAGGUGGGUCCAUGUCCUUCAAAAUCUCCCGGAUUUCAGCAAAGCCCACCUGUAAAAUAACCAAUAGCGUAUCCAUUUGCCUAGAAAAUGGGUGCUGGUGAUUGUGACUUUAGAGUUUAUUUCAAUUGUUUGGCUGCUACUGCUCCAUCCUUCGUUCUGCAGCCUUAAAACCACUGGGUGUGGCUAGUUGAGCUGUUGGUCUGGCUACUCGGAAGAAAGGAGGGAUCCCUUGGAGCUGGAGGAAAACAGCAGCAGCAACCAUGCCUUCCCCCUCCUACACAAACCUUUGUACCCCAUGAAUUUAUUUAUGUUCCCAAAUUUUAAAACUUAAAUCCUCUGAAUCUGCCCAAAUUAUGCUGCCUCCUCUGAGGUUAUUCUCUUGAAGGGCUGCAAACUGACCGGUUGAGAUAAUCUCGUUUGAAUCCCACCAUCAUCAGUUUUAAAUCCAACCCCCACCACUACCACAGUGAAUUACGCCAUGUUAAGUUACACCAGUGCAGUAUAAGGAUGGGGGUUCAAAGUGAUGUAGGUGGCUUGCUGAGGAGUCUGUAGGUUGUUUACUCGGAACUGGCAACGCCCCUGUCCCCAUAGUCUCUGUGUUCAUCACUUGGUACAACGCUUGGCUUUUGACCUCAUGAUGCUCACUUCUUUCAGUUGCUAAAGACACCCUCCAUUUCAGGAGGGCAGGAAGUGGGAGCUGGUUCUCCUGGGAGGGUGGCUAGUGACGUUCAUGUCAGCCUCCCAUGAUGAGCCAUGGCCACGGAGGUUUUUUAAAAUAUCUAUCAGUGGUUCGGUAUCCUGUGGGAGGUGUUGCACAGUCUUGGGUAUGUGGUCAAAAGGGAGGGUGUUCAUUUUGUGGGGUGCCCAACAGAUGGCUACCUACCUCACCCAUCAUGCUUGAAGAGACUGAUCUGCUAGUGCAGUCAUGAGCAACUGACCCCAUUGAUUCUUGUCCAUAAAGUGAAAAGGGUAGGCGUAGGACCUCCCCAAGGUGACCCCAGCUGUUGAAGGCAUAUGCGGGAACUGGAAACCACUUGCCCACUCCAAGUCUGUUGCACAACUGUCUGUGGUUUCUGGGUGCCUCUCAAUCCCUCUGCUGCAGAGAAAGUUAUUAAUCUGUGCUAAUGGGACUGCCUGACUCCUCUCUCACUGCACAGGCGAAUGGAGCCCUGGGAUAUCAAGUUUAUUUUCCACCUGGGUAUCAAGGGUAUCUUCUCAUGGCUGGGCUUGGAACAAGAUGGUAUUUUGGAGAAGCCUCUUGAUUUAGUACAAUUGUGCUGCAAAGUCAUUCCUGUGGGUGUUUGAGCAGAGAUUUUCCAUGAAGCUUCUUAAAUAUCAGGGGCCUCUUUCCCCCAGUUAGCAUAGUUUAUUUCUCUUUCUCUUGACAAUUCCUGGGCUGCAGUUGCUACCUGGCCACUUCAACCCGGCUCAAACCAUUUUGAAUGGUUCCCCCACCCUGUCCACCCACCUGCUUUGUUUAAGGCCAGCCUCCACACCAGAGUGUUUAAAAUCUGCUUAUUUUAAGAGGAAUUCAGGUGUGCAAAUUAGCCACGGUUGGGUUUUUCUGCUUUUUACCCUGGGAAGCAGCAACCCUGUUCUCUUCUGCCUCUGGAACAAAGCACCAGAAAGGCACAAAAGCCGCUGCAGGGAGCAGGCAGCAGGAUGCGGUGCCGUCUUGCUUGCCUGCCUGGGCUCAGCUGCUUCGUCAUCCCUCAGAGCAGUGACAGGGAAGGAACUGCCAGCUCCUUCCUAGGAACCACUCCCCUCCAUUGUGCUUGACUGUGGUCCAUCACUGGGCAGCCCGUUUCCAUGAGGAUCCCUUCCUUCAAUGCCCUCGGAAUCUGCACUCCUUCUGCCUUGCAGUACUCCUUUCCAGACUAGAUUACACAAGCGAUCUUGUAUAAUUUGCAACCUUUGGAUGUGGUGGCGGCCGAAGCUGCUCGGUAUUUUGCAAACAAUGGCUUCUCACUGGCUCCUGGCUCCAUCACCAGCUUUGUACUUUAGGGUUCUUGUGAUGGAUGGGCUGGAAGGGAAAGUGUGGGGCGGGGGGAACGUGCCAUUCUCAUCUGGUUCAUCAGUGUUUCUUUUCCUUUUGUUUUGGCUGAACGAUUUUAUCCAUCUGGUGCCAAGGCUGGAGGUGGCUUUUGCAGGGAACCACAUCAGCUGCAUAGGGGGGAAUUGGCUGAUUAGCUGCUGCUGUUAUAACUGGAAAAUGUAUUAUGGGGAACCUGAAAGCAGCUCACAAUUUUGUGGCAUUUCCACUGACCCUAAUAUUUUCUAAUGGACCAGUAUAGCUACAUGUCUCCUCCUGCCAUCGUGUAUCAGGUCGGGGAAAACUGGCCUACAGCAUCUAGACUGGGUUGGGAAGCCUGUGGUGGUUCUUACAUUGCUGGACUAGAGCCUCCAUCUUCCUUACCAUGCUGGCUGGGCUGAUGGGAGUUGGAGUCCAACAGCAUCUGGAAGGCCACUAGUUCCCCACCCCUGACAGAACAGCUACAGUGAAAUCAUAGUUGGAAGGGACCCUGAGGGUCAUCUAGUCCAACCCCUUGUAAUGCAGGAAUCUCAACUAAAGCAUCCAUAACUGAUGGCCAUCCAACUUCUGCUGAAAACCCUCCAAGGAAAGAGGGGGCCUGCUGCUUACUUUGGAAGGGCAGCUCUGUUUCCAGAAGGAAACAUUUUGGUUUCCUGGCUUGGCCUGGCUACAUCAGCAUCCAGUGGGACACAGUCAUGAUGUGGGAAAAGAAUGCAUUCAGAUAGGUGUGUGGUGGGGAAAAGGAUUCUGGUCGGCUUUGCUAUGGUACUUUUGGUAUCUUACUCAUUUCUCUACAGCUCUUUAUAUACAAAACACUUUCACAACUCUCAUCUUGUUUAUCUUUGCAACAACCCUGUGAGGCUAGAAAGAAAAUGAGGAAUAGCGUGCCCAGCCAGAGUCUGUUAAUCGGUCCUUAUUUUAUUCAUCCUCAGAGCAGCCAUUUUAGGUAGGUUGCUUAAUAGGCCCUUAGACAGGCAACUAAGGGUGAGCUGAGAGCAAGAGUGUACUAGCAAGAGUGUGACUAAGCCAGCAAGAGGUACCCAGUCUGCAGGUGGAACUACACAUACGCACAAGGUUCAGUGUAAAGAUACUUGAAGAAGUCAGUCUUUGCAAAUCCCUGCACAAACAUCCUGAGCAUGGAUUGGAGCUUACCUCUCCAAGAGACCUUUGUCUGUGUGGUAGGAUCACUUGAAGACCCUUCCACUGUGAAACAGAUGCCAGUCUUCCACUUUGUCCCUUUAAUGGCAUUCUUUGUGCACUCAUUGAUGUAACUGCCUAAAUCCUAUACUUCAGAUUGCUUCGUGUUACAGAGAGAGAGACCCUAACCUGGUGUGGAGUUAGCUAGGGAACAAAACCUCUGUAAUCAAAAUGGCAGGGCAUUGACCAGCCUAUGAGCCCAUUUAAUGACCCUAGAUCAUUAGUUUUCAACCAGUGUGCUGUGGCACCCUGGGGUGCCUUGAAUGAUGGUCACGGGUGCCACAGGCAACACUGGCCUCUGUCCCUCUUUCUUUCUUUCUCUCCCUCCUCUGAUGCCCUCUUGCGUCUCUGCUUCCCAAAGUCUUGCACAGCUGUUCGUUGCAGCAGCCCUGGCUACAAGCUCCCCAGGCCAAUAGUGCCUCUGGGGCUGGCCAGGGGGUGCUUCCCAGGCCCUUGUGGGGCAAUGUGAGGAGGCACCUCUCUCUGGGGGCAGGGUGGAAGCUCAGAGACCAGGGGCAGCAGCUGUGGCUGCCCAGACUGCAAAGGAGAGGGGGGCAGAGAGGAGGCUGAGGGAACACUCCACAAGGGAUGGUGUUUGAAAAGAGGUGAGGGGCUGCCAGCUCUGCAGGCAAGGGGUGACAUAACUGGGCUCCUGAGCCCCACAGGGGUGCCCCAGAAAGAAUGUAGUUGGUCAAGGGAUGAAUGGACUCAAGAAGGUUGAAAACCUCUGCCCUAGAUCUGGGGAUGGGGAUGUGCUUUUGCAAUCACAAGAUUUCAGUAUAAGUAUGGCCUACUUCUCACAGGGCUAGUAAGCUUACAUCUGGGCCAUGUCAUUGUAGCCUACAGGUGGGAGGGUUCUUUAAUUUUAAUUUUAUUUCAACGUCUGUAUCUUGCCUUUCUAUUUAAAAAAUAAAAUAAAAUUGAAGGCAGCAAACAAAACACACAAAGUAAAAUAAUUACCCAGAAUCAUUACAACUCACAGUAAAACAGCAU
Non-coding RNA from Podarcis lilfordi (Lilford's wall lizard), 4732 nucleotides. NCBI's taxonomy places the organism in Eukaryota, Metazoa, Chordata, Lepidosauria, Squamata, Lacertidae. The record is from the annotation of a GenBank genome assembly.